Long non-coding RNA from Temnothorax curvispinosus, 286 nucleotides. RefSeq lists it as uncharacterized. Lineage: Eukaryota; Metazoa; Arthropoda; Insecta; Hymenoptera; Formicidae. The transcript is spliced from 3 exons. The record is from RefSeq and is a predicted model, not a curated record.
AGGGAAUGCUGCGUAGCUGACAUUCCGAGCAGCCUGAGAGGAGGAGGAGGCCUAGGAUAGGCAUCGGGCAUCAACGUACCAACACUUCUGAAAAUAUCCACGCUGGAAGGACCUUCAGCUUCGCAUCGAGGGAACACGAUGGACAUCUCGAGCAGCCUGAGAGGAGGUGGAGGCCUAGGAGAGGCAUCGGGCAUCGGCGUACUUAACACUUCUGAAAAUAUCCACGCGGGAAGGAGUAUCUUCGCAUCGAAGAAACAGUAACUGACAUCCCGAGCAGCCUGAGAGG